This 76-nucleotide transfer RNA is filed under the name Candidatus Woesebacteria bacterium RIFCSPHIGHO2_01_FULL_44_10. Its description in RNAcentral is "tRNA-Ala". It matches the Rfam family "tRNA". From Rfam's summary of the family: Transfer RNA (tRNA) molecules are approximately 80 nucleotides in length. Their secondary structure includes four short double-helical elements and three loops (D, anti-codon, and T loops). Lineage: Bacteria; Candidatus Woeseibacteriota. The record is from RNAcentral. RNAcentral also lists the same sequence under 1 other name.
GGGCCGUUAGCUCAGUUGGCAGAGCGCACGCAUGGCAUGUGUGAGGCCGCCGGUUCGAUCCCGGCACGGUCCACAA